Molecule: ribosomal RNA, 253 nt
Filed under: uncultured bacterium
Lineage: Bacteria
Description: partial 16S ribosomal RNA
Rfam family: Bacterial small subunit ribosomal RNA
Source: RNAcentral
UACAGAGGGUGCGAGCGUUAAUCGGAAUUACUGGGCGUAAAGCGCACGUAGGCGGCUUGGUAUGUCGGGUGUGAAAUCCCCGGGCUCAACCUGGGAACUGCAUCCGAAACUGCCUUGCUCGAGUAUGGGAGAGGGAAGUGGAAUUUCCGGUGUAGCGGUGAAAUGCGUAGAUAUAGGAAGGAACACCAGUGGCGAAGGCGACCACCUGGACUGAUACUGACACUGAGGUGCGAAAGCGUGGGGAGCAAACAGG